This 815-nucleotide ribosomal RNA is filed under the name Vibrio harveyi. Its description in RNAcentral is "bacterial SSU rRNA". It matches the Rfam family "Bacterial small subunit ribosomal RNA", at positions 36 to 832 of the family's 1533-position model. Lineage: Bacteria; Pseudomonadati; Pseudomonadota; Gammaproteobacteria; Vibrionales; Vibrionaceae. RNAcentral also lists the same sequence under 1 other name. The record is from RNAcentral.
CCCCNGGGGGGCCUAAACAUGCAAGUCGAGCGGAAACGAGUUAUCUGAACCUUCGGGGAACGAUAACGGCGUCGAGCGGCGGACGGGUGAGUAAUGCCUAGGAAAUUGCCCUGAUGUGGGGGAUAACCAUUGGAAACGAUGGCUAAUACCGCAUGAUGCCUACGGGCCAAAGAGGGGGACCUUCGGGCCUCUCGCGUCAGGAUAUGCCUAGGUGGGAUUAGCUAGUUGGUGAGGUAAGGGCUCACCAAGGCGACGAUCCCUAGCUGGUCUGAGAGGAUGAUCAGCCACACUGGAACUGAGACACGGUCCAGACUCCUACGGGAGGCAGCAGUGGGGAAUAUUGCACAAUGGGCGCAAGCCUGAUGCAGCCAUGCCGCGUGUGUGAAGAAGGCCUUCGGGUUGUAAAGCACUUUCAGUCGUGAGGAAGGUGGUGUAGUUAAUAGCUGCAUUAUUUGACGUUAGCGACAGAAGAAGCACCGGCUAACUCCGUGCCAGCAGCCGCGGUAAUACGGAGGGUGCGAGCGUUAAUCGGAAUUACUGGGCGUAAAGCGCAUGCAGGUGGUUUGUUAAGUCAGAUGUGAAAGCCCGGGGCUCAACCUCGGAAUAGCAUUUGAAACUGGCAGACUAGAGUACUGUAGAGGGGGGUAGAAUUUCAGGUGUAGCGGUGAAAUGCGUAGAGAUCUGAAGGAAUACCGGUGGCGAAGGCGGCCCCCUGGACAGAUACUGACACUCAUAUACGAAAGCGUGGGGAGCAAACAUGAUUAUAUACCCUGGUAGUCCGCGCCGUAACCAUUUCUACUUGGAGUUGUGGCCUU